Molecule: ribosomal RNA, 451 nt
Filed under: uncultured bacterium
Lineage: Bacteria
Description: partial 16S ribosomal RNA
Rfam family: Bacterial small subunit ribosomal RNA
Source: RNAcentral
AACGAACGCUGGCGGCAUGCCUAACACAUGCAAGUCGAACGAGAUCCUUCGGGGUCUAGUGGCGCACGGGUGCGUAACGCGUGGGAAUCUGCCCUUGGGUCCGGAAUAACAGUUAGAAAUGACUGCUAAUACCGGAUGAUGACGUAGGUCCAAAGAUUUAUCGCCCGAGGAUGAGCCCGCGUAGGAUUAGCUAGUUGGUGGGGUAAAGGCCCACCAAGGCGACGAUCCUUAGCUGGUCUGAGAGGAUGAUCAGCCACACUGGGACUGAGACACGGCCCAGACUCCUACGGGAGGCAGCAGUGGGGAAUAUUGGACAAUGGGCGAAAGCCUGAUCCAGCAAUGCCGCGUGAGUGAUGAAGGCCUUAGGGUUGUAAAGCUCUUUUACCCGGGAUGAUAAUGACAGUACCGGGAGAAUAAGCUCCGGCUAACUCCGUGCCAGCCGCCGCCGUAA